GACGAACGCUGGCGGCGCGCUUAACACAUGCAAGUCGAACGGAAAGGCCUGCUUUCCCUUGUGGAUUGCGGGUACUCGAGUGGCGAACGGAUGAGUAACACGUGAGUGAUCUGCCCCCAACUUGGGUAUAAGCCUGGGAAACUGGGUCUAAUUCCCGAUAGGACUGCAGGGUGGUGCCUGUGGUGGAAAACGAUUUUCUAGUGGUUGGGGAUGAGCUCGCGGCCUAUCAGCUUGUUGGUGGGGUAAUGGCCUACCAAGGCGGCGACGGGUAGCCGGCCUGAGAGGGUGGACGGCCACAUUGGGACUGAGAUACGGCCCAGACUCCUACGGGAGGCAGCAGUGGGGAAUAUUGCACAGUGGGCGGAAGCCUGAUGCAGCGACGCCGCGUGGGGGAUGACGGCCUUCGGGUUGUAAACUCCUUUCGACCGCGAGGAAGCCACCUGGUUGGAAGGGUGGUGACGGUAGUGGUAGAAGAAGCACCGGCUAACUACGUG
RNAcentral lists this ribosomal RNA (494 nucleotides) under uncultured bacterium. Its description in RNAcentral is "partial 16S ribosomal RNA". It matches the Rfam family "Bacterial small subunit ribosomal RNA", at positions 28 to 507 of the family's 1533-position model. The record is from RNAcentral.